AGAGACAGCAGCAGCCGCGGGAAUACGCAGGGUGCAAGCGUUAAUCGGAAUUACUGGGCGUAAAGCGUGCGCAGGCGGUUUUGUAAGACAGUUGUGAAAUCCCCGGGCUCAACCUGGGAACUGCAUCUGUGACUGCAUUGCUGGAGUGCGGCAGAGGGGGAUGGAAUUCCGCGUGUAGCAGUGAAAUGCGUAGAUAUGCGGAGGAACACCGAUGGCGAAGGCAAUCCCCUGGGCCUGCACUGACGCUCAUGCACGAAAGCGUGGGGAGCAAACAGGAUUAGAGACCCCCGUAGUCCCUGUCUCUUAUAA
This 309-nucleotide ribosomal RNA is filed under the name uncultured bacterium. RNAcentral describes it as "partial 16S ribosomal RNA". It matches the Rfam family "Bacterial small subunit ribosomal RNA", at positions 504 to 809 of the family's 1533-position model. The record is from RNAcentral.